This 522-nucleotide ribosomal RNA is filed under the name uncultured bacterium. RNAcentral describes it as "partial 16S ribosomal RNA". It matches the Rfam family "Bacterial small subunit ribosomal RNA", at positions 28 to 523 of the family's 1533-position model. The record is from RNAcentral.
GACGAACGCUGGCGGCGUGCCUAAUACAUGCAAGUCGAACGGUCUUUUCUAUGGAAGCUUGCUUCCACUGAGAAGAUAGUGGUGAACGGGUGAGUAACACGUGGGUAACCUGCCCAUAAGAGGGGGAUAACAUCCGGAAACGGGUGCUAAUACCGCAUAGUUUUCUUGAUCGCAUGAUCGAGAAAGGAAAGACGGCCUUUGUGCUGUCGCUUAUGGAUGGACCCGCGGCGUAUUAGUUAGUUGGUGAGGUAUCGGCUCACCAAGACGAUGAUCCGUAGCCGGCCGGAGAGGGUGAUCGGCAACAUUGGGACUGAGACACGGCCCAAACUCCUACGGGAGGCAGCAGUAGGGAAUCUUCCGCAAUGGACGAAAGUCUGACGGAGCAACGCCGCGUGAGUGAAGAAGGUUUUCGGAUCGUAAAACUCUGUUGUCAGAGAAGAACAAGUCGGAGAGUAACUGCUCCGGCCUUGACGGUAUCUGACCAGAAAGCCACGGCUAACUACGUGCCAGCCGCCGCCGUAA